RNAcentral lists this ribosomal RNA (465 nucleotides) under uncultured bacterium. RNAcentral's name for it is "partial 16S ribosomal RNA". It matches the Rfam family "Bacterial small subunit ribosomal RNA", at positions 338 to 795 of the family's 1533-position model. The record is from RNAcentral.
CCUACGUGGUGCAGCAGUGGGGAAUUUUGCGCAAUGCUCGUAAGAGUGACGCAGCGACGCCGCGUGAAUGACGAAGGCCUUCGGGUCGUAAAGUUCUUUCGACAGGGAAGAAAAUGCCUAUAAGUAACUGUGUAUGUAUUGACGGUACCUGUAUAAGCAGCCCCGGCUAACUCCGUGCCAGCACCCGCGGUAAUACGCAGGGGGCGAGCUGUGGUCGGAGUGACUGGGCGUAAAGAGCACGUAGGCGGUGUUGUAAGUAAUUAGUCAAAGACUAGAGCUCAACUUUAGUAAGGCUGGUGAUACUAUAAUACUGGAGGAUCAGAGAGGCUUGCAGAAGUCCUGGUGUAGCGGUGAAAUGCGUAGAUAUCAGGAGGAAUACCGUUAGCGAAGGCGGCAAUCCGGCUGGAAACUGACGCUGAGGUGCGAAAGCGUGGGUAGCAAACAGGAUUAGAGACCCUUGUAGUC